This 253-nucleotide ribosomal RNA is filed under the name uncultured prokaryote. Its description in RNAcentral is "partial 16S ribosomal RNA". It matches the Rfam family "Bacterial small subunit ribosomal RNA", at positions 525 to 777 of the family's 1533-position model. The record is from RNAcentral.
ACGGAGGGCGCAAGCGUUGUUCGGAAUUACUGGGCGUAAAGCGCGGGCAGGCGGUCUGUUAAGUCGUUUGUGAAAACCCGGGGCUCAACCCCGGGAAUGCAUACGAUACUGGCAGGCUGGAGACUGGUAGAGGCUAGCGGAAUUCCUGGUGUAGCGGUGGAAUGCGUAGAUAUCCGGAGGAAUACCAGUGGCGAAGGCGGCACGCUGGGCCAUAACUGACGCUAAGACGCGAAAGCAUGGGUAGCGAACGGGA